This 245-nucleotide ribosomal RNA is filed under the name uncultured bacterium. RNAcentral describes it as "partial 16S ribosomal RNA". It matches the Rfam family "Bacterial small subunit ribosomal RNA", at positions 524 to 768 of the family's 1533-position model. The record is from RNAcentral.
UACGUAGGCAGCGAGCGUUGUUCGGAGUUACUGGGCGUAAAGAGUGCGUAGGCGGUUUUGCAAGUUUGUUGUGAAAUCUCCCGGCUUAACUGGGAGGGUGCGGCGAAAACUGCAAGGCUGGAGUAUGGGAGAGGUAGGCGGAAUUCCUGGUGUAGCGGUGAAAUGCGUAGAUAUCAGGAGGAACACCGGUGGUGUAGACGGCUUACUGGACCAUGACUGACGCUGAGGCACGAUAGCGUGGGGAG